This 465-nucleotide ribosomal RNA is filed under the name uncultured bacterium. RNAcentral's name for it is "partial 16S ribosomal RNA". It matches the Rfam family "Bacterial small subunit ribosomal RNA", at positions 338 to 795 of the family's 1533-position model. The record is from RNAcentral.
CCUACGGGUGGCUGCAGUCGAGAAUCUUUCGCAAUGGACGGAAGUCUGACGAAGCGACGCCGCGUGUGUGAUGAAGGCCCUAGGGUUGUAAAGCACUUUCGCCUGGGAAUAAGAGAAGUCGGUUAAUACCCGUCGGCUUUGAGCGUACCAGGAAAAGAAGCACCGUCUAACUCCGUGCCAGCAGCUGCGGUAAUACGGGGGGUGCUAGCGUUAAUCGGAUUUAUUUGGCGUAAAGGGCGUGGGGGGGGAAAGGUAAGUUAGUUGGCAAAUCUCGGGGCUUAACCCCGGAUCGGCAUCUGAAACUGGUUUUCUAGAGGGUAGAUGGGGAAGGGGGAAUUUGUGGUGUAGCGGUGAAAUGCGUAGAUAUGAGGAAGAACACCAGUGGCGAAGGCGCUUUUCUAAUUUGUGACUGACGCUGAGGCGCGAAGGCGAGGGGAGCAAACAGGAUUAGAUACCCGAGUAGUC